RNAcentral lists this transfer RNA (72 nucleotides) under Marmota marmota marmota (Alpine marmot). It matches the Rfam family "tRNA". Rfam says of the family: Transfer RNA (tRNA) molecules are approximately 80 nucleotides in length. Their secondary structure includes four short double-helical elements and three loops (D, anti-codon, and T loops). The record is from Rfam by way of RNAcentral. RNAcentral also lists the same sequence under 3 other names. Lineage: Eukaryota; Metazoa; Chordata; Mammalia; Rodentia; Sciuridae.
GGGGAUGUAGUUUAGUGAUAGAGCACUUGCCUAGUAUGCAUGAGGCCCUGGGUUCAAUCCCCAGUACUGCAA